This 1053-nucleotide ribosomal RNA is filed under the name Foliophoma camporesii. RNAcentral's name for it is "SSU rRNA". It matches the Rfam family "Eukaryotic small subunit ribosomal RNA", at positions 55 to 1122 of the family's 1831-position model. Lineage: Eukaryota; Fungi; Ascomycota; Dothideomycetes; Pleosporales. The record is from RNAcentral.
AUGAUCUAGUAUAAGCAUUAUACCGUGAACUGCGAAUGGCUCAUUAAAUCAGUUAUCGUUUAUUUGAUAGUACCUUACUACUUGGAUAACCGUGGUAAUUCUAGAGCUAAUACAUGCUGAAAACCCCAACUUCGGGAGGGGUGUAUUUAUUAGAUAAAAAACCAACGCCCUUCGGGGCUUCUUGGUGAUUCAUGAUAACUUUACGGAUCGCAUGGCCUUGCGCCGGCGACGGUUCAUUCAAAUUUCUGCCCUAUCAACUUUCGAUGGUAAGGUAUUGGCUUACCAUGGUUUCAACGGGUAACGGGGAAUUAGGGUUCGAUUCCGGAGAGGGAGCCUGAGAAACGGCUACCACAUCCAAGGAAGGCAGCAGGCGCGCAAAUUACCCAAUCCCGACACGGGGAGGUAGUGACAAUAAAUACUGAUACAGGGCUCUUUUGGGUCUUGUAAUUGGAAUGAGUACAAUUUAAACCUCUUAACGAGGAACAAUUGGAGGGCAAGUCUGGUGCCAGCAGCCGCGGUAAUUCCAGCUCCAAUAGCGUAUAUUAAAGUUGUUGCAGUUAAAAAGCUCGUAGUUGAAACUUGGGUCUGGCUGGCAGGUCCGCCUCACCGCGUGUACUUGUCCGGCCGGGCCUUCCUUCUGGAGAACCUCAUGCCCUUCACUGGGCGUGUUGGGGACCAGGACUUUUACUUUGAAAAAAUUAGAGUGUUCAAAGCAGGCCUUUGCUCGAAUACGUUAGCAUGGAAUAAUAGAAUAGGACGUGCGGUCCUAUUUUGUUGGUUUCUAGGACCGCCGUAAUGAUUAAUAGGGACAGUCGGGGGCAUCAGUAUUCAAUUGUCAGAGGUGAAAUUCUUGGAUUUAUUGAAGACUAACUACUGCGAAAGCAUUUGCCAAGGAUGUUUUCAUUAAUCAGUGAACGAAAGUUAGGGGAUCGAAGACGAUCAGAUACCGUCGUAGUCUUAACCGUAAACUAUGCCGACUAGGGAUCGGGCGAUGUUCUUUUUCUGACUCGCUCGGCACCUUACGAGAAAUCAAAGUUUUUGGGUCUGGGGGGA